This 615-nucleotide ribosomal RNA is filed under the name Vibrio cholerae. RNAcentral's name for it is "partial 23S ribosomal RNA". It matches the Rfam family "Bacterial large subunit ribosomal RNA", at positions 743 to 1359 of the family's 2925-position model. Lineage: Bacteria; Pseudomonadati; Pseudomonadota; Gammaproteobacteria; Vibrionales; Vibrionaceae. The record is from RNAcentral.
GGUUGAAGGUUGAGUAACAUCAACUGGAGGACCGAACCGACUAAUGUUGAAAAAUUAGCGGAUGACUUGUGGCUAGGGGUGAAAGGCCAAUCAAACUCGGAGAUAGCUGGUUCUCCCCGAAAGCUAUUUAGGUAGCGCCUCGGACGAAUACUACUGGGGGUAGAGCACUGUUAAGGCUAGGGGGUCAUCCCGACUUACCAACCCUUUGCAAACUCCGAAUACCAGUAAGUACUAUCCGGGAGACACACGGCGGGUGCUAACGUCCGUCGUGGAGAGGGAAACAACCCAGACCGCCAGCUAAGGUCCCAAAGUAUUGCUAAGUGGGAAACGAUGUGGGAAGGCUCAGACAGCUAGGAUGUUGGCUUAGAAGCAGCCAUCAUUUAAAGAAAGCGUAAUAGCUCACUAGUCGAGUCGGCCUGCGCGGAAGAUGUAACGGGGCUAAGCAAUACACCGAAGCUGCGGCAAUGUCUUUUAGACAUUGGGUAGGGGAGCGUUCUGUAAGCCGUUGAAGGUGAAUCGUAAGGUUUGCUGGAGGUAUCAGAAGUGCGAAUGCUGACAUGAGUAACGACAAAGGGGGUGAAAAACCUCCUCGCCGGAAGACCAAGGGUUCCUGUC